ACCAUUUCUGUGCACAUCUUUGAAUAGCAAAUAACACUUGCUGGAAGAUUUCAAAAAGAGGGGACAAUCCUUUUCCUUGCCGUGCUCCCGGUGUUAAAGAAGGCCUACAUUUCUCUUCUCCAAGGCAGUUUAUGAGUCAUCCCAUCCAGAGGAACCAGAUUGCUAAACUACAAAGAUAAGACCGGCCAAACCUUAAGACGUAAGCUCCAAAUUGUUCACUUGAAGAAAUUGAGCUGUAUAAAUCUUCUUUAACUUGGCCAACAUCACCCCCUUAACCGUGCAGAUAGAACUCAAUCCUUAUCACGAUAAAGGUUUAAAAGGGAUGCCAAGAGGGAACUUUCUGAGCCCUCUAUCCUCCACAAAAGAAACUCUUGAAAACCAAGGAGAUGCUGCAAGGGACAAC
RNAcentral lists this long non-coding RNA (403 nucleotides) under Equus caballus (horse). RNAcentral's name for it is "lncRNA (ENSECAG00000043690.2)". The record is from RNAcentral. Lineage: Eukaryota; Metazoa; Chordata; Mammalia; Perissodactyla; Equidae.